Molecule: ribosomal RNA, 120 nt
Filed under: Junonia atlites
Lineage: Eukaryota; Metazoa; Arthropoda; Insecta; Lepidoptera; Nymphalidae
Description: partial 16S ribosomal RNA
Source: RNAcentral
UUCAAACCCGGUGUAAGCCAGGUUGGUUUCUAUCCUUUAAUAAAAUAAAAUAUUUUAGUACGAAAGGAUCAAAUAUUUAAAAUAAUUUUAUUUAAUUGAAUAUUAAUAAUAUAAUUUUAA